UACGGAGGUGGCUAGCGUUGUUCGGAUUUAUUGGGUGUAAAGGGCAUGUAGGUGUUCUGAUAAGUUUCUGGUGAAAUCCCCCGACUCAAUCGUGGAACUGCCUGAAAAACUAUCAGAAUUGAGUGCAGAAGAGGAGAGUAGAAUUUCCGGUGUAAGAGUGAAAUCUGUAGAUAUCGGAAGGAAUACCUGUGGCGAAAGCGACUCUCUAGUAUGAUACUGACACUGAAAUGCGAAAGCUAGGGGAGCAAACAGG
RNAcentral lists this ribosomal RNA (253 nucleotides) under uncultured bacterium. RNAcentral describes it as "partial 16S ribosomal RNA". It matches the Rfam family "Bacterial small subunit ribosomal RNA", at positions 524 to 776 of the family's 1533-position model. The record is from RNAcentral.